RNAcentral lists this ribosomal RNA (484 nucleotides) under uncultured bacterium. Its description in RNAcentral is "partial 16S ribosomal RNA". It matches the Rfam family "Bacterial small subunit ribosomal RNA", at positions 30 to 507 of the family's 1533-position model. The record is from RNAcentral.
AUUGAACGCUGGCGGCAGGCCUAACACAUGCAAGUCGAGCGGUAACAGGGCGCUUGGUGCUGGCGUCAGGGGCGGGGGGGAGUGAAAUGCCUAAACGUGUGCAUUCGAGGGGGGUAAAUCGUCGAAAGAGGGGCGAUUAUACCACAUGCGUCAUGAGGGAAAGCGGGGGGGCGCUUCGGACCUCACGAUUGCAGCUGAGGCUAGGUCGGAUUAGCUAGUUGGUGGGGUAAAGGCCUACCAAGACAACGAUCUGUAACUGGUCUGAGAGGAUGAUCAGUCACACUGGAACUGAGACACGGUCCAGACUCCUACGGGAGGCAGCAGUGGGGAAUAUUGGACAAUGGGCGCAAGCCUGAUCCAGCCAUGCCGCGUGUGGGAAGAAGGUCUUCGGAUUGUAAAGUGCUUUUGUUUGGGAGGAAGCGCAGUAAGUUAAUACCUUGCUCUUUUGACGUUACCGAAAGAAUAAGCACCGGCUAACUUCGUG